Molecule: non-coding RNA, 2711 nt
Organism: Amborella trichopoda
Lineage: Eukaryota; Viridiplantae; Streptophyta; Magnoliopsida; Amborellales; Amborellaceae
Source: RefSeq, a predicted model, not a curated record
UGUGCGCCUAACUUUGAUAUAGAGAUGGAUAUAGAGAGACGAAACCCUACAUAAAUCCAUGGAACUUCUCGUGAACUUCUGUAAUGAAGACACGGGAAAGAGCUUCACAGUCCAUCUCCACAAAGCUCUCACCGAUCACGGUAUCUCCACCUUCUUCUCACCCACAUCACAGCAACAGCAGCAACCGAAUGAUACACAGAGAGCCAUUGAAAAAUGCGAGGUGUUUGUCGCCGUUGUUUCCCCCAUUUAUGCUUCUUCUUUCUUCUGCCUUGACCAGCUCUCUUAUUUACUGACUUUGCCAAGGACGCCGGUCAUCCUUCCUGUGUUUUAUAAUGUGGAGCCAUCGCAUGUUUGCUGGCAAAAGGGGCCUUCGAGGGAGCUUUUUUGGAUCACAGAACUAAGAAUGGGUUUGAUGAGGAGACAGUGCAGAGGUGGAGAAAUGGAAGCAUCUCGAACAUACGGUGGAUUUGUCACCUUAGAAAAGCAACUUCUUAAGGAUCUUUUCAACGAGGGAGAUCACCCUAUAAAUGAUGUUGAUAGAGGUAUCAAUGUUUUGAGGAAUAUAAUUGGGUCUAAGAAAGUUCUUGUGAUAGAGUGCGUAAGGGUCAUAUCUACAAUAGACGGGUUGGAUGACACACAAUCUCUUGAAUUGUUUAGUUGGUGCGCAUUUGGGAGGGAUCAACCCAUGCAAGAACAUGCAAAGUUCUCGAAGGAUAUGGUGUCCACUGCUGGUGGGCUUCCACUGGCGCUUGAAGUGUUGGGAAGUCACUUAUGGGAUAAGACGACCAUUGACGAGUGGGAAGAUGCAGUAAAAAAGUUGAAAAGAAUUCCUGAAGAUGACAUCACGCUAAAGCUUAGGAUAAGUUAUGAUAAUUUGAAUGAAGAAGAGAAACAUAUAUUUCUUGACAUUGCAUGCUUCUUUAUUGGAGAAACAAAAGAUUAUACAAUCGAUAUAUGGAAAGGUUGUGGUUUCCCUGCUUCAAUUUCCAUAAAAAAACUAUUGCAGAGGUCACUUAUGAAGAUUGAUGUUAAGGAUAGGUUGCAGAUGCAUGAUCAACUUCGUGAUAUGGGGAGAUGGAUUGUUGAACUAGAAAAUCUGUGUGAUCCUGGAAGGCAUAGGAGGUUGUGGUCUGAAGAACAUGUUAUUAAUGUAUUCAAGUAUCUCAAGGGAAUUUAUAAGGUUCGAGGCCUAAUGCUCGUGGGGAAUGAAAGGGAGGUCAGUUGGGAAACCGAAGCAUUUAAACCAAUGACCAAUUUGAAGCUACUCAGCAUUAAUCGAGCAUCUCUUGUUGGAAACUUCAGAUACCUUUCAUCAGAACUGGUGUGGCUACAAUGGCCUCGAUGUCCUUUACCAUACCUCCCAAAUGAUUUUAGCCAUGAAGAGCUAGCUGUCCUUGACUUGUCAUAUAGUGAGGCUGUCCUUCACUUAUCAAACAACAACAUCAAGCAGCUCUUCCCAAAGUUUAAGGUUCUUGAUCUCAGCUAUUGCCACAACCUAGAGAGAAUUUCCGACUGUUCUCUGUACCCAAACUUGGAGAAGUUAAAUCUUGUUGGAUGCUGCAAGUUGGUUGAGAUUCCUGACUUCAUAGGCCUUCUAAAGAAUUUAUUUAAUCUGAAUCUUGGAGGAUUCGACAACCUCAAGGAACUGCCAAAUUCGCUUGGCUCACUAGUGAACCUUAAGGGGUUGAAUGUGAGUGGCUGCAAAGGUACUCAAUAGAUUCCCAUCAUCAAUGGGAAAGAUAAGGUCCCUGAGUUAUCUAUGAUGAAUAAUACUGCUAUAACAACAUUGCCUGAUGAUUUUGAACUUCUUCAUGGCUUGAAAAAGUUGAAUAUGUGGGAGUGUAGACAGUUGAAAGAGUUCCCAAAAAGCUUUGGAAGUCUUACAAGUUUUCCGACACUCAAUAUAAGCUUCAGCACGAGUUUGGCAAGGCUUCUGCCCACUUUCUCAGGUCUUUGCUCCUUGGAGGAAUUGAAUGCUAAGUAUUGUGACCUGCAGGGGAUGAUUCCUGAUGACUUUGAAAAGUUCUCCUCAUUGAAAAAGUUUAAUAUCAGCCACAACAAUAUCCAAGGCCUGCCCAGUGGCAUGAAAGGCCUCUCUCAACUAGAAACACUAUCUAUCCGAUAUUGUGAGUAGCUGGUAACUAUUCUUAAGCUCCCCCCAAGUUUGAAACAUCUGGAUGCCUUCGGAUGCAAAUGAUUGCAAACCAUGGCCAUGUUAUCUCACCUUUCUGAACUACGAGAGCUGCGUUUACAUGAUUGUAAGCAGUUGGUAGCUAUCCUUGAGCUCCCCACUAGUUUGAAACAUUUGGAUGCUUUCGAAUGCAAAAGGUUGAAACCAUUGCCAUGUUAUCUCACCUUACAUGAUUGUGAGCAGUUGGUAGUUAUCCCUGAGCUCCCUAGCAGUUUGAAAUAUUUGGAUGUUUCUGGAUGCAAACAGUUGCAAACCAUCGCCACGCUCUCUCAUAUUUCUGAACUACGAGAGCUGCAUUUAUGUGCGUGUGAGUAGCUGGUAGCUAUCCCUGAGCUCCCCACAAGUUUAGAAUAUCGUAAUGAUUCCAAAUGCGACUGUUUGAAAACUAUACCCAAGCUAUCUCACUUUUCUAAACUAAGAGAGCUGUGUUUAUAUACUUGUGGGCAGCUGGUAGCUCUCCCUAAGCCCCCCACCAGAUUAAGAUCUCUUGUUGCUUUUUACUAUGAUUCAUUGUAAACCA